Molecule: long non-coding RNA, 1487 nt
Organism: Echinops telfairi (small Madagascar hedgehog)
Lineage: Eukaryota; Metazoa; Chordata; Mammalia; Afrosoricida; Tenrecidae
Exons: 3
Source: RefSeq, a predicted model, not a curated record
UUAGUCCUAUAUGUCCACCAAUCCCAGGCAAAAAGGAGGAGGAUCCCACAAAUAAUCCGAGACUUCGAUCUAUAAUCAGAAACUGGACAAUGGAGGCAAAAUACGUUAAACAAAACCCUGAUGGGCGGAGGCGAACUAAAUCCCAUUACACCCUUUGAUGCGGUGUUGGGUUUGCCGGGUACAUUCCCUUUUGCCCUAUUGCUGCAACGAAUGAUCGGAAUUCUCAUACUCUGCCGGUCCACUCACCAAAAAAAAAAUCGAAAAUCAUUUCGUAGGGAUGAUGGAGGGGAAGGUGCUCCUCUCCCUGUUUUUGUCUGUUUUUUUCCUCCCCUCUUCCUCGUAGGACGAAGGGAGCUGAAUAGAUUAUAUACCUUGUCCUCGCUCCCUCCCCCAUCCGCCACUCAGCCUUUGCCUUUUCGACCUCCAUUCCUGCGGGGAAAGUACCGCCCCUGGAGUUGGGUUCUGGUUUCGCUUUGGGCUGGAAGUGGAAGGUGGGGGGUCCUGGUGAGAAAGUAGGGUUUUUGAGGUUCUGCCCCACGGUUCAGGGUCUGAACACUCGGUUCUCGUUUUCUGACUCAAGUUCGCCCACCCACCUGCUCGGCUCCACUCCCGAGGCCCGGUGCUGAAGCCAGCCUGACCGCACUGGACUACACCAAGGCCUAACUGCUGGCCUUUCCAGGAAAGAGGGAGAAAGCAGAGACCCGGAUCCACAGCCUCCACUUGGGCGCCGCCCCCCUCGGCGAGGGAGGAGGGGAGAUCCUAUUCCGGAGGGCUGGUCUUUCUAAAUAUGCCCCAGUGUAAAAUGAGAGACUUGCAAAUACCCCCAAUCGGUGACUCCCGAGCCGCUUGGUUUUUCUGCUCCGGUUCUUGCUGAGACUCAGCUCUGCAGUCAUGGGAGCUGAGUAAGGAAGGAAGCCAAGCGGUCGCUGGUGGGCAGUGGACCUGCAGCCAUUCUGGAGUGCGGUUGAUGGCGGGAGAGUGAGUGACCCCGGUUCCCAGAGAAAGAGAUGUAGAAUGAGCUUAGAGCUGUUUUAUCUCUAGCCCCUGUGGGCUCCGUGUGGCCUUAAGUGAGGUCCUCUCUCUGACCAAGUCUUGCCAUGAAUAAUUAUUUGAGCAAUUUGCACAGCGCCUUUAAAUGCAUAAAUGAAACGUUCUCCCCAUUUCUCAGAGGGGAACACCGAGGUAGGAGCACGGGAAGAGGGCGGGCUGGAAGGGUCCAAGGCUCUUUAGGACACGCCGCCUGCUUGGGAAACGCAGCACAGACCCCACAGAGCCCAGGAGCUGGGCACCCAUGCACCUGCAGGCUCCUCACUGCUGCAGCCACGCUGCCCUUCCCUACCCGCGCGGCUUCGGAGUCCAGCAGAGUGGACCCUGGGGGGAAGUGGGGUCCAGAUCCUCUCGUUACCAUGCCACGAGUUUCGUCUGGGUGGGAAUGACGCACCCAGGACACGUGAUUGGCCUCGUAGAGACACACUCCUAGCCCACGA